GCACCCAUAGCUCAAUUGGAUAGAGCAUCUGACUACGGAUCAGAAGGUUCCAGGUUCGACUCCUGGUGGGUGCGCCA
This 77-nucleotide transfer RNA is filed under the name Limisphaerales bacterium. RNAcentral describes it as "Verrucomicrobia subdivision 3 bacterium (hot springs metagenome) tRNA-Arg". It matches the Rfam family "tRNA". From Rfam's summary of the family: Transfer RNA (tRNA) molecules are approximately 80 nucleotides in length. Their secondary structure includes four short double-helical elements and three loops (D, anti-codon, and T loops). Further hydrogen bonds mediate the characteristic L-shaped molecular structure. tRNAs have two regions of fundamental functional importance: the anti-codon, which is responsible for specific mRNA codon recognition, and the 3' end, to which the tRNAs corresponding amino acid is attached (by aminoacyl-tRNA synthetases). tRNAs cope with the degeneracy of the genetic code in two manners: having more than one tRNA (with a specific anti-codon) for a particular amino acid; and 'wobble' base-pairing, i.e. permitting non-standard base-pairing at the 3rd anti-codon position. Lineage: Bacteria; Pseudomonadati; Verrucomicrobiota; Verrucomicrobiia; Limisphaerales. The record is from RNAcentral.